AUUGAACGCUGGCGGCAUGCCUAACACAUGCAAGUCGAACGGCAGCAUGAAUAGGGGUAACCUUAUUUGAUGGCGAGUGGCGGACGGGUGAGUAGUAUGUAGGAAUCUACCUAGAGGAGGGGGAUAACUUGGGGAAACCCAAGCUAAUACCACAUAAGCCCUACGGGGGAAAGCAGGGGAUCGAAAGACCUUGCGCCUUAUGAUGAGCCUACAUCGGAUUAGCUAGUUGGUGGGGUAAAGGCCUACCAAGGCGACGAUCCGUAGCUGGUCUGAGAGGAUGAUCAGCCACACUGGGACUGAGACACGGCCCAGACUCCUACGGGAGGCAGCAGUGGGGAAUAUUGGACAAUGGGCGAAAGCCUGAUCCAGCAAUGCCGCGUGUGUGAAGAAGGCCUUAGGGUUGUAAAGCACUUUCAGUAGGGAGGAAGGUUGUAAUGCUAAUAUCAUUGCAAAUUGACGUUACCUACAGAAGAAGCACCGGCUAACUCUGUGCCAGCCGCCGCAGUAA
RNAcentral lists this ribosomal RNA (508 nucleotides) under uncultured bacterium. RNAcentral's name for it is "partial 16S ribosomal RNA". It matches the Rfam family "Bacterial small subunit ribosomal RNA", at positions 30 to 523 of the family's 1533-position model. The record is from RNAcentral.